GCCUGCGUCAUCAAGAAAUGCACUGGCAUAACCUAGGAGUCGGACAAUCAUCUCAAGCUUUGUUCCACUCCAGGCAAAACUAUGCAAAACUUCUAAUGACACACCAAAUCCAAUCUAUUUAACAUUACAGUAUCCAUUGUUGUAUCUAAAUAAGCAUUCGUUGUACAAGGAUACUGAACCCCUGAAUAGAACCAAAUGGAUAUUACACGGGAAAGUAUACUACAACAUGUGGACACGAAUUGUGACCACAUGUGCUGGAACAGGAUACACAAUGGAAUAAAAACUUUGAGGGGCCAAAAAAGGCCCUAAAGAUCACACAGAUUCUCCAGAACAAAACCUUGUAGAUGACAUACCAAAUUUACAAUAGCAUUCUGGAUGAAGGGGCAGACAAUCACGGCACAUACCCAAUAUCCUUGAAGUACUCAUGCUCAAGG
RNAcentral lists this unclassified non-coding RNA (434 nucleotides) under Hevea brasiliensis (rubber tree). Lineage: Eukaryota; Viridiplantae; Streptophyta; Magnoliopsida; Malpighiales; Euphorbiaceae. The record is from RNAcentral.